RNAcentral lists this ribosomal RNA (422 nucleotides) under uncultured archaeon. RNAcentral's name for it is "partial 16S ribosomal RNA". It matches the Rfam family "Archaeal small subunit ribosomal RNA", at positions 323 to 746 of the family's 1478-position model. The record is from RNAcentral.
CUACGGGGGGCUGCAGGCGAGAAAACUUUGCAAUGUGCGAAAGCACGACAAGGUUAAUCCGAGUGGUUUGUGCUAAACGAACCUUUUGACAGUCCUAGAAACACUGUUGAAUAAGGGGUGGGCAAGUUCUGGUGUCAGCCGCCGCGGUAAGACCAGCACCUCAAGUGGUCAGGAUGAUUAUUGGGCCUAAAGCAUCCGUAGCCGGCUCUGUAAGUUUUCGGUUAAAUCUGUACGCUCAACGUACAGGCUGCCGGGAAUACUGCAGAGCUAGGGAGUGGGAGAGGUAGACUGUACUCGGUAGGAAGGGGUAAAAUCCUUUGAUCUAUUGAUGACCACCUGUGGCGAAGGCGGUCUACCAGAACACGUCCGACGGUGAGGGAUGAAAGCUGGGGGAGCAAACCGGAUUAGAUACCCUCGUAGUC